Molecule: ribosomal RNA, 482 nt
Filed under: uncultured bacterium
Lineage: Bacteria
Description: partial 16S ribosomal RNA
Rfam family: Bacterial small subunit ribosomal RNA
Source: RNAcentral
AUUGAACGCUGGCGGCAUGCUUUACACAUGCCAGUCGAACGGUAACCGGCCGCAAGGUGCUGACGAGUGGCGAACGUGUGAGUAAUGCAUCGGAACGUGCCCAGUCGUGGGGGAUAACUACUCGAAAGAGUAGCUAAUACCGCAUACGAUCUAUGGAUGAAAGCGGUGGUCAGUAAGGCCUCGCGCGAUUGGAGCGGCCGAUGCCAGAUUAUGUUGGUGGGGGGGUAAAGGCUCACCAAGCCAACGAUCUGUAGCUGGUCUGAGAGGACGACCAGCCACACUGGAACUGAGACACGGCCCAGACUACUACGGGAGGCAGCAGUGGGGAAUGUUGGACAAUGGGCGCAAGCCUGAUCCAGCAAUGCCGCGUGCAGGAAGAAGGCCUUCGGGUUUUAAACUGCUUUUGUACGGGACGAAACGGCUCUGGUUAAUACCCGGGGCUAAUGACGGUACCGUAAGAAUAAGCACCGGCUAACUACGUG